GGAAUAUUGCACAAUGGGGGAAACCCUGAUGCAGCAACGCCGCGUGAAGGAUGAAGGUCUUCGGAUCGUAAACUUCUGUCCUUGGGGAAGAACAAAUGACGGUACCCUUGGAGGAAGCCCCGGCUAACUACGUGCCAGCAGCCGCGGUAAUACGUAGGGGGCAAGCGUUAUCCGGAAUUAUUGGGCGUAAAGAGUGCGUAGGUGGUUACCUAAGCGCAGGGUUUAAGGCAAUGGCUCAACCAUUGUUCGCCCUGCGAACUGGGCAACUUGAGUGCAGGAGAGGAAAGUGGAAUUCCUAGUGUAGCGGUGGAAUGCGUAGAUAUUAGGAGGAACACCAGUGGCGAAGGCGACUUUCUGGACUGUAACUGACACUGAGGCACGAAAGCGUGGGGAGCAAACA
Molecule: ribosomal RNA, 400 nt
Filed under: uncultured Eubacterium sp.
Lineage: Bacteria; Bacillati; Bacillota; Clostridia; Eubacteriales; Eubacteriaceae
Description: bacterial SSU rRNA
Rfam family: Bacterial small subunit ribosomal RNA
Source: RNAcentral